This 476-nucleotide ribosomal RNA is filed under the name uncultured bacterium. Its description in RNAcentral is "bacterial SSU rRNA". It matches the Rfam family "Bacterial small subunit ribosomal RNA", at positions 30 to 518 of the family's 1533-position model. The record is from RNAcentral.
UGAACGCUGGCGGCGUGCCUAACACAUGCAAGUCGAACGGAGUAUUAGAGCUUGCUUGAAUACUUAGUGGCGGACGGGUGAGUAAUGUAUGAGCAACCUGCCUUCAGAGGGGGACAACAGUUGGAAACGACUGCUAAUACCGCGUAACGUAUGAUGGGGGCAUCCCCGACAUACCAAAGGAGCAAUCCGCUGAAAGAUGGGCUCAUAUCUGAUUAGCUAGUUGGUAGGGUAACGGCCUACCAAGGCUGCGAUCAGUAGCCGGACUGAGAGGUUGAACGGCCACAUUGGGACUGAGAUACGGCCCAGACUCCUACGGGAGGCAGCAGUGGGGAAUAUUGGGCAAUGGGCGAAAGCCUGACCCAAGCAACGCCGCGUGAAGGAAGAAGGUCUUCGGAUUGUAAACUUCUUUUAUGAGGGACGAAGGACGUGACGGUACCUCAUGAAUAAGCCACGGCUAACUACGUGCCAGCAGCUGC